Molecule: ribosomal RNA, 253 nt
Filed under: uncultured bacterium
Lineage: Bacteria
Description: partial 16S ribosomal RNA
Rfam family: Bacterial small subunit ribosomal RNA
Source: RNAcentral
UACGGAAGGGGCAAGCGUUGUUCGGAAUUAUUGGGCGUAAAGGGCGCGCAGGCGGCCUUGUAUGUCUGCUGUAAAAGCACACAGCUCAACUGUGUAAGGUCAGUGGAAACUGCAAGGCUUGAGGUUGGGAGAGGCUGGUGGAAUUCCCUGUGUAGCGGUGAAAUGCGUAGAUAUAGGGGAGAACACUCGUGGCGAAGGCGGCCAGCUGGACCAGACCUGACGCUGAGGCGCGAUAGCGUGGGGAGCAAACAGG